AUGACUAAAUUACAGUGAAAACAACUUGCCUUUGUAAAGUAACUUAUAUAUUUCAAAGAGUCAUACAUGUUAUCUUAGUUAAUCCUUUUCACUAACUCUCUGAGGUAAACAGGACAAUUAUUUUUAAUAACAGAGAUGAAAAUAAAUUAAGCUACUUACAUAAAGUCAUUUUUAAUAUAAAACUAAAACAUUAAAAGGAUGGCAAUCACAUGCAAGGCUGCUCACAGCAUAAGAUGAUAGGGUAAAGCUUUUUGGAGGGUAAUUUCAGUAAUCAAAAUGCCAUUUGUAAAGAUAUUGACCUGCAGCUUUACUCCUAGGCAUCUAUUGUGCAGUAAUGCUUAUAUAUGUGCACAGAAACAUGAGCAGAGGUAUUUGUUAUGACGUGGGAAAUCAAGAAGCUGUAAAUUGCUGAAAGUACAUCAA
Molecule: long non-coding RNA, 423 nt
Filed under: Homo sapiens (human)
Lineage: Eukaryota; Metazoa; Chordata; Mammalia; Primates; Hominidae
Description: HSALNT0308673
Source: RNAcentral